AGGUGUCGCCUGAUCAAGACGUAGCCAGCACCAUGUCUGCCUGCAUGCCGCCAUGCUCCCCGCCAUGAUGAUAAUGGACCGAACCUCUGAAACUGACGUCAUCACAGAUGGUUCCCAAGACGCCUUUGAAGAGAGGGUUUCCCAGGACCAUGGAACAGAAAACGCAGUUCUUGCUUCCUCUUCCUGUAAUGCGCAUGGCACAUCCUGUGGAAGAAGAAAGGAAUGACGACGACAGAACUGUAGAAUCCGUGCUGCUCUGUGCUGUGACACAAGGACAGCAGGUCCGGGGGACACCGAUUAGAGUCUCACGGUCCCCUCAGAAACCCCCCGGAUCUUGACACGCCAGCACAUUUUAUCAAUGGGACAAUGACCCAGAGAAAAGUAAAAUACAUCGGGGGGGCGGGGGGGAACAACCGUGCCGCUUCACAGUUACGUAGAGAUGGGUCUCAUCUAGAAUUUGCACCGAGUAAACCACGGCUGUGUGUGUGUGUGAGAACAGCCACAGGACAGAAGCAUUCUUCAAGGCAAGGUCAACAACUCCUGCGGCUCAUUUGUCAAAAGACACAUGUUCGCUGACUUCAGGAAACGCUGGUUCUGGGUGAAAAACAGAAAAGGCUAUUCAUUUCCCAUCUCACUAGGAAAGGUCACGUUAAAACCCACGAGCCAGAAGGAGCAGACACGUGUAAACAAGAGACCCAACUGUCUUCCUCUCCCAUUGAUUUCUGCUGUUUAUCCUAUGAGUAACUCUCGGAUUCCCCAAAGCCCUCAAUUCAUUUCUGAAUC
Molecule: long non-coding RNA, 783 nt
Organism: Alexandromys fortis (reed vole)
Lineage: Eukaryota; Metazoa; Chordata; Mammalia; Rodentia; Cricetidae
Exons: 3
Source: RefSeq, a predicted model, not a curated record